GAGAGCAACUGCUCUGCAGCAGCCUCGCUCCCGCGAUAACUUAAGGUCAUGUGACAUCAGAUGCAGAGCAGAAACCACUCCCAUCCAGGUCAUCGUGGACACAUUUUAACCAGCAUGCAUCACGAUUUAUGCAGCGCUGCGCAGCGCUGCGCAGCACUGCGUGAUCUUGAACUCGCCUAAUAUGUAAUGAGGCGCGCGUUGAUUGGCCGCAGGAAGGACAGAGCCGGAAUCGGGGGCUAGCCUGCAUGCACACAGACUCCAAAACAUAAACAGCCCCCUGUCAUGGCGCACACACUAAAUGACGAACCUUACAAUUCAGGCAUUUAUGUACGAGCCGGAUUCGGAACCCGAACGGGAGAGUGAAGAGGCAGAGACGGUGGAAGAGACACGUUUACAGCAGGAUGUCUCUGAAUGGAUGAAGGGUGUUAUGAUCUUUCUGGUGUUGAUGCUGGUCGUCAUCAUGGUUGAUGCUGAGGAGAGUCGUCCUCAAAAUGAUGGUGUCCGCCUGCCGCCCCGGCGCAGUAAGUCAUACAAAGUGUUCAUACAAACUGAGUUGAUGUUAACAGAUUGAUCUCUGAUUUACACAAACAGCAGCCUAUGGUAGUCUGAGAUCAACAAAUCAAACUUGACUGUACUAACUUAUUACAUACAACUUCAUUUAGUUCUGUGUCUAUCUAAAAUCUUUAUUAAGUCCUGGUAUCUCAGAUAAUAAACCUAAAUCUAAGUAAAAAGAGCAUCUUUAAUGUUCUAAAUGCAAAGAUUUUCAAAUGUGAUAAUAACAUACAGAUGCGUUUUUUUAACUCAUUUUUGUCUCUGUUUCCCUUUAGUAGCCAUACCUGGACUGUAAGUACUACUGAAUAUUUCUGGUGAUUUCAAACAGACAAAUAAAAGAAAUAAAUAGACUUUUUGAAAUACCUCAACCCUAUCAAACAUAGCAAGCAUCAGUAUUAACCAGAUCCAAAGUUGAUGUCUUCAAAUACCUUAUUUUGUCCAACCCAUUUAAAUUCACGAUGAUAUAAUAGAGGGCAAAGAAGCAAGCUGACACAUUCCAGAUGCUGGAAUCAGUGCAUUUCUUUUUGAAAUAUGUGUCAACUAAGAUUCUGUUGAUAAUUAAACAAACUGAUUUCUCUCCUUUGUUCCCCCUUCUCGUACUAGGUAUAUCAGAUUUGGAGCAUCUCAAGAUGAAGUGGCCAACGAUAAACUGAGGCGAUACUAUGAAAACUGAGUCUGUUCUUGAUUUUGAAGAUAUAGUUUGAGCUAUAUCUUUGUGCUUUGCAAAGCAAGAAAUAAUUGGAUGUGUAAACAUGAAGCUCUUGAGAUGUAGUGAUUUUAGUCACAGCUACAACUGAUAGUGAAAACUAUCCUGUUGAAUAAAGCUGCAUUCCAAAAGACCGUCUGUGUGUUGUGGUGUUAUUUAAGUGAACAUAUGUUUGUAAUUUUACUGGUGAUGAUGAUCAAGAACAUUGUUUUUCAUCAAUUCGGAGGUCAAUGUUUAUAUUAAGUAGAUCUAAAUAAUAAGUGUGUUGGUGUGAUCAGUUUAUUGAAUAAACUCUCUUCCUAUUAACUAAUAAAUCUAAAUGUUGAUGAUGUCAUUUGACAGAAAACUAUUUCAAAAAUGAAGCGAAAUAGGUGAGCAGGUGGUCGAGUGGUUAGAGCGCAUGCUACAUACGCAGCUGACCUCGGUUCGAUUCCGGCCAGAGGUCCUUUGCUGCAUGUCAUAUC
Molecule: long non-coding RNA, 1722 nt
Organism: Sparus aurata (gilthead seabream)
Lineage: Eukaryota; Metazoa; Chordata; Actinopteri; Spariformes; Sparidae
Source: Ensembl